AUUGAACGCUGGCGGCAGGCCUAACACAUGCAAGUCGAGCGAGCGGCGGACGGGUGAGCAAUGUAUGGGGACUGCCCGAUAGAGGGGGAUAACUACUGGAAAAGGUGGCUAAUACCGCAUACUAUCCGAUAACCCAUAGGGGAUUAGCUAGUAGGUGGGGUAAAGGCUCACCUAGGCGACGAUCCCUAGCUGGUCUGAGAGGAUGAUCAGCCACACUGGGACUGAGACACGGCCCAGACUCCUACGGAGGCAGCAGUGGGGAAUAUUGCACAAUGGGCGAAAGCCUGAUGCAGCCAUGCCGCGUGUAUGAAGAAGGCCUUAGGGUUGUAAAGUACUUUCAGCGGGGAGGCGUUACCCACAGAAGAAGCACCGGCUAACUCCGUGCCAGCAGCCGCGGUAAUAC
Molecule: ribosomal RNA, 403 nt
Filed under: uncultured bacterium
Lineage: Bacteria
Description: partial 16S ribosomal RNA
Rfam family: Bacterial small subunit ribosomal RNA
Source: RNAcentral